ACGAACGCUGGCGGCGUGCCUAAUACAUGCAAGUCGAGCGGAAUGAUGAAGAAGCUUGCUUCUUCUGAUUUUAGCGGCGGACGGGUGAGUAACACGUGGGCAACCUACCUUGUAGAUUGGGAUAACUCCGGGAAACCGGGGCUAAUACCGAAUAAUCCAUUUUGCUUCAUGGCGAGAUGUUGAAAGACGGUUUCGGCUGUCACUACAAGAUGGGCCCGCGGCGCAUUAGCUAGUUGGUAGGGUAAUGGCCUACCAAGGCGACGAUGCGUAGCCGACCUGAGAGGGUGAUCGGCCACACUGGGACUGAGACACGGCCCAGACUCCUACGGGAGGCAGCAGUAGGGAAUCUUCCACAAUGGACGAAAGUCUGAUGGAGCAACACCGCGUGAGUGAAGAAGGUUUUCGGAUCGUAAAACUCUGUUGUAAGGGAAGAACACGUACGAGAGUAACUGCUCGUACCUUGACGGUACCUUAUUAGAAAGCCACGGCUAACUACGUG
Molecule: ribosomal RNA, 499 nt
Filed under: uncultured bacterium
Lineage: Bacteria
Description: bacterial SSU rRNA
Rfam family: Bacterial small subunit ribosomal RNA
Source: RNAcentral